GAGUUUGAUCGUGGCUCAGAUUGAACGCUGGCGGCAUGCCUUACACAUGCAAGUCGAACGGCAGCAUGAUCUAGCUUGCUAGAUUGAUGGCGAGUGGCGAACGGGUGAGUAAUACAUCGGAACGUGCCCUGUAGUGGGGGAUAACUAGUCGAAAGAUUAGCUAAUACCGCAUACGACCUGAGGGUGAAAGUGGGGGACCGCAAGGCCUCAUGCUAUAGGAGCGGCCGAUGUCUGAUUAGCUAGUUGGUGGGGUAAAGGCCCACCAAGGCGACGAUCAGUAGCUGGUCUGAGAGGACGAUCAGCCACACUGGGACUGAGACACGGCCCAGACUCCUACGGGAGGCAGCGGUGGGGAAUUUUGGACAAUGGGCGAAAGCCUGAUCCAGCAAUGCCGCGUGUGUGAAGAAGG
This 409-nucleotide ribosomal RNA is filed under the name uncultured microorganism. RNAcentral describes it as "bacterial SSU rRNA". It matches the Rfam family "Bacterial small subunit ribosomal RNA", at positions 9 to 414 of the family's 1533-position model. The record is from RNAcentral.